This 1372-nucleotide ribosomal RNA is filed under the name uncultured bacterium. RNAcentral's name for it is "bacterial SSU rRNA". It matches the Rfam family "Bacterial small subunit ribosomal RNA", at positions 28 to 1381 of the family's 1533-position model. The record is from RNAcentral.
GAUGAACGCUGGCGGCGUGCCUAAUACAUGCAAGUCGAGCGAACGGACGAGAAGCUUGCCUUUCUGAUGUUAGCGGCGGACGGGUGAGUAACACGUGGAUAACCUACCUAUAAGACUGGGAUAACUUCGGGAAACCGGAGCUAAUACCGGAUAAUAUUUUGAACCGCAUGGUUCAAAAGUGAAAGACGGUCUUGCUGUCACUUAUAGAUGGAUCCGCGCUGCAUUGGCUAGUUGGUAAGGUAACGGCUUACCAAGGCAACGAUGCAUAGCCGACCUGAGAGGGUGAUCGGCCACACUGGAACUGAGACACGGUCCAGACUCCUACGGGAGGCAGCAGUAGGGAAUCUUCCGCAAUGGGCGAAAGCCUGACGGAGCAACGCCGCGUGAGUGAUGAAGGUCUUCGGAUCGUAAAACUCUGUUAUUAGGGAAGAACAUAUGUGUAAGUAACUGUGCACAUCUUGACGGUACCUAAUCAGAAAGCCACGGCUAACUACGUGCCAGCAGCCGCGGUAAUACGUAGGUGGCAAGCGUUAUCCGGAAUUAUUGGGCGUAAAGCGCGCGUAGGCGGUUUUUUAAGUCUGAUGUGAAAGCCCACGGCUCAACCGUGGAGGGUCAUUGGAAACUGGAAAACUUGAGUGCAGAAGAGGAAAGUGGAAUUCCAUGUGUAGCGGUGAAAUGCGCAGAGAUGUGGAGGAACACCAGUGGCGAAGGCGACUUUCUGGUCUGUAACUGACGCUGAUGUGCGAAAGCGUGGGGAUCAAACAGGAUUAGAUACCCUGGUAGUCCACGCCGUAAACGAUGAGUGCUAAGUGUUAGGGGGUUUCCGCCCCUUAGUGCUGCAGCUAACGCAUUAAGCACUCCGCCUGGGGAGUACGACCGCAAGGUUGAAACUCAAAGGAAUUGACGGGGGCCCGCACAAGCGGUGGAGCAUGUGGUUUAAUUCGAAGCAACGCGAAGAACCUUACCAAAUCUUGACAUCCUUUGACAACUCUAGAGAUAGAGCCUUCCCCUUCGGGGGACAAAGUGACAGGUGGUGCAUGGUUGUCGUCAGCUCGUGUCGUGAGAUGUUGGGUUAAGUCCCGCAACGAGCGCAACCCUUAAGCUUAGUUGCCAUCAUUAAGUUGGGCACUCUAAGUUGACUGCCGGUGACAAACCGGAGGAAGGUGGGGAUGACGUCAAAUCAUCAUGCCCCUUAUGAUUUGGGCUACACACGUGCUACAAUGGACAAUACAAAGGGCAGCGAAACCGCGAGGUCAAGCAAAUCCCAUAAAGUUGUUCUCAGUUCGGAUUGUAGUCUGCAACUCGACUACAUGAAGCUGGAAUCGCUAGUAAUCGUAGAUCAGCAUGCUACGGUGAAUACGUUCCCGGGUCU